Molecule: long non-coding RNA, 1122 nt
Organism: Bos taurus (domestic cattle)
Lineage: Eukaryota; Metazoa; Chordata; Mammalia; Artiodactyla; Bovidae
Source: Ensembl
CUCCCCAAGCUCGCCGCCUCGGGAGGGCUAGGGCGACGCCGGGAUCUAGCCUCCUACCUUGGGCGGCACAUACUAUCAUUUGUGUGACUCGGGGAAAGGUUGUGUUUGUGUUGCUUUAGGGUUUGGGGAGGUAACUUUUGCGCCCCUACAGGUGACAUCGCUUGCCUGCUGCUGCCAGGGGCGGAGGCUGCGGCAGCUCCACCUAGCCCUGCCCGGGCGCUCGGCUGCAGCUACUCUUUCCCCCAGCUGCACCCAGACUGGCAGCGGCUGCUCUGCCCUGACAUUUGCAGAGGAUUGGGUAAGCGCGUGCCGGAAACCUCCCGUCGCCAUCUUGGUAAAGGCAGCUGACGCCGCUUGGCUGCGCGUCCACCAUCUUGGCCGAGGUUCUCAUUACCCGGCAGCCGAAGUCGCUCGCAUUUGGUUCAGAGGUGGUGGACGCUGCCCCGUGUGUUGUCCAAGGAUGACAUGGGAGAACUAGGCUAUUAGCAAGCCACCUGUGCGGAGGCGAUCUGCACUGGCCGCCUCCAGAUGAUGCCAGGGCCACCAUCUUGGCAAAGGAAAAGACGCUCACCGCCGGAGGCAAGAAGGGACCCAAGACCUUUGCCAGCGUAGAACCUUCAGCCAGGAGAAUUUUUAUGAAGAGCACUGAGCAACCCAGUUGCUAACAAAACCCCUUCUGUUAGCAACACCUCUUCUGAUCCGGAAGAAAUGACUUCUCUUUUCUUUUCCUUGUCAGUAGUCAACUGGAGGGAAGCCCUACUCUUGGGUGCUCACCGUGGCCUCUAAAUGAGAAUUGACUCCUAGCAUGCUACUUUGCCUACUUUCCAGGCUUCUUACCUUCUAAGUUUCAAAUACCAGAAUCACAUGUCUUUACCCAGUGGGUCCCUAAAUAACCAACAGCUUCAUGGAAAGAAAGUCAAGACCCAAACCUACAAUGUUACCUUGCUGCUGCUGCUAAGUCACUUCAGUCGUGUCCGACUCUGUGUGACCCCAUAGACGGCAGCCCACCAGGCUCCCCCAUCCCUGGGAUUCUCCAGGUCCAGUGGAUCACUUUAAAAUGGGAGAGGACUCAUUGUUUCAGAUUAACAAUCACCAUUGAAAAUACUUUCAGUGGAGCAAAAG